GUGAAUCAUCGAAUCUUUGAACGCACAUUGCGCCCCUUGGUAUUCCGAGGGGCAUGCCUGUUCGAGCGUCAUUAUAACCACUCAAGCCUGGCUUGGUAUUGGGGUUUUCGCGUGUUCGCGGCCCUUAAAAUCAGUGGCGGUGCCGUCUGGCUCUAAGCGUAGUAAUUUCUCUCGCUAUAGGGUUCCGGUGGUUACUUGCCAAAACCCCCCCAUUUUUCUAGGUUGACCUCGGAUCAGGUAGGGAUACCCGCUGAACUUAAGCAUAUCAAUAAGCGGAGGA
Molecule: unclassified non-coding RNA, 280 nt
Filed under: Hyaloscypha sp.
Lineage: Eukaryota; Fungi; Ascomycota; Leotiomycetes; Helotiales; Hyaloscyphaceae
Description: partial contains 5.8S ribosomal RNA, internal transcribed spacer 2, and large subunit ribosomal RNA
Rfam family: 5.8S ribosomal RNA (bases 1-71)
Source: RNAcentral